RNAcentral lists this ribosomal RNA (489 nucleotides) under Triticum aestivum (bread wheat). Its description in RNAcentral is "partial small subunit ribosomal RNA". The record is from RNAcentral. Lineage: Eukaryota; Viridiplantae; Streptophyta; Magnoliopsida; Poales; Poaceae.
AUGGAGCGUAUGGCCGCCUCGUACUUCAAGGAGGUAUAUACGAAAGAUCCCACUCUAACUCCGGAUGCAGUUCUAGAUGUUCUUGAGCUGAGGGUUACGAAUGAGAUGAAUGACCGUCUCCUCAUGCCUUUCUCUGAUGUUGAAAUAUUUGAUGCUUUGUUUCAAAUCGGACCCUUAAAGGCGCCGGGUCCGGAUGGGUUCCCGUCCCGGUUUUAUCAGAGGAACUGGGGUUGUUUGAAAGAGGAAAUCAUAGCUGUUGUUCGACUGUUUUUUGUCACAGGCCAUAUGCCAAAAGGGGUCAAUGAUACUUGUAUUGUACUGAUUCCCAAAGUUCAACACCCGGUGACGUUGAAGGAUUUCUGUCCUAUCUCUCUGUGCAAUGUGAUAUACAAGAUAGUCUCUAAAUGUAUGGUGAAUAGGCUCAGACCGUGCCUUUUGGAUCUCAUUUCAGAAAAUCAAAGCGCGCUCAUCCUGGGACGCUUAAUCUAA